RNAcentral lists this ribosomal RNA (1083 nucleotides) under Salmonella enterica subsp. enterica. RNAcentral describes it as "partial 23S ribosomal RNA". It matches the Rfam family "Bacterial large subunit ribosomal RNA", at positions 134 to 1259 of the family's 2925-position model. The record is from RNAcentral. Lineage: Bacteria; Pseudomonadati; Pseudomonadota; Gammaproteobacteria; Enterobacterales; Enterobacteriaceae.
UGACUCGUCACACUAUCAUUAACUGAAUCCAUAGGUUAAUGAGGCGAACCGGGGGAACUGAAACAUCUAAGUACCCCGAGGAAAAGAAAUCAACCGAGAUUCCCCCAGUAGCGGCGAGCGAACGGGGAGGAGCCCAGAGCCUGAAUCAGCAUGUGUGUUAGUGGAAGCGUCUGGAAAGGCGCGCGAUACAGGGUGACAGCCCCGUACACAAAAGCGCAUGUGCUGUGAGCUCGAUGAGUAGGGCGGGACACGUGGUAUCCUGUCUGAAUAUGGGGGGACCAUCCUCCAAGGCUAAAUACUCCUGACUGACCGAUAGUGAACCAGUACCGUGAGGGAAAGGCGAAAAGAACCCCGGCGAGGGGAGUGAAAAAGAACCUGAAACCGUGUACGUACAAGCAGUGGGAGCACCCUUUGGGUGUGACUGCGUACCUUUUGUAUAAUGGGUCAGCGACUUAUAUUCUGUAGCAAGGUUAACCGAAUAGGGGAGCCGGAGGGAAACCGAGUCUUAAUUGGGCGUUAAGUUGCAGGGUAUAGACCCGAAACCCGGUGAUCUAGCCAUGGGCAGGUUGAAGGGUGGGUAACACUAACUGGAGGACCGAACCGACUAAUGUUGAAAAAUUAGCGGAUGACCUGUGGCUGGGGGUGAAAGGCCAAUCAAACCGGGAGAUAGCUGGUUCUCCCCGAAAGCUAUUUAGGUAGCGCCUCGUGAAUUCAUCUCCGGGGGUAGAGCACUGUUUCGGCUAGGGGGCCAUCCCGGCUUACCAACCCGAUGCAAACUGCGAAUACCGGAGAAUGUUAUCACGGGAGACACACGGCGGGUGCUAACGUCCGUCGUGAAGAGGGAAACAACCCAGACCGCCAGCUAAGGUCCCAAAGUCAUGGUUAAGUGGGAAACGAUGUGGGAAGGCCCAGACAGCCAGGAUGUUGGCUUAGAAGCAGCCAUCAUUUAAAGAAAGCGUAAUAGCUCACUGGUCGAGUCGGCCUGCGCGGAAGAUGUAACGGGGCUAAACCAUGCACCGAAGCUGCGGCAGCGACACUGUGUGUUGUUGGGUAGGGGAGCGUUCUGUAAGCCUGCGAAGGUGG